This 1242-nucleotide long non-coding RNA is filed under the name Nicotiana tabacum (common tobacco). Its description in RNAcentral is "long non-coding RNA (NTAB_LNC004751)". Lineage: Eukaryota; Viridiplantae; Streptophyta; Magnoliopsida; Solanales; Solanaceae. The record is from RNAcentral.
GCUAAUAUUGACUCAAGAGAUCCUGGGUAUUAGAAUUCUAAACAGAACACACACGCUGUGAUAUCAAUUGCAGGCGGUUGAUGUUAAAUAUCUUCCAUUUUAUAUGACGUAGUGGAGGGGAACAUCUUUUUCGAGUUUCAAACUAAUAAAGACAAGCCCUCUUUGACCUGCUUCUAAAAGUUAUUUAGUUUCUUUAUCAUUGCCUAAGCGAGUUAUGUUUUGCAUCUUCUUUGCGUCUAUAUUUAUGAGGAUAUGUGCACCUAAGUAGCGUCAUGGCAGAAAUCUACUUUUGCCACCCUGUUAAAGAGAUCUUUCUUGUCCACCCAGUAUGUUAAAUCUGUUUAAAAAGAAUAUUUUCCAAGAUCAUACAUUUUCUCUUCUGAGUCUAAGCUUUGCACUAGUUUGCUAAUUUAGUUAUUAAAGCAAGGAAAACAUAAGACGGUAGAUCUGAAGUUCAUGACACAUUAUCACACUGAAGAUUUGGAUUUGGACAAAGAUAUAAGAUAUAAGCUGAUUUAUGGCUGCAAUUGAAGUGAUAGAUGGAACUAGCUUGGGAUUGAUGGGAUUGAGGCGCAGUUGUUGAUGUUGUCAUGUUAAAGUGGCAGAUGGUUUGGGCAAAAGUAGAUCACAGAUAAGGAUGUAAAAGUGGACUAGUUCUCAAGCAUAACUCCACAAGGUACUAUGCACACCAUAGAAAAUCAACUAUGCACUUUACAAUAGAUAUCAGUUCUUUUGAUUUUGGUUUUGUGUUGUCAGGUUAAGAUUGUAAAGUGCUUCAUGCAGCAUAUCUCUGUAGAAAUCUCUUUUAAUCAAGUGGCAGGACUCUGUUCUUUGAGCUUCCUUGAACAGGUUUGAAUCUAUUGCAAUUUUGCUAACAAAAUCCCAAUGCUGUCAUCUGUGUAGCAUCCGUUGAAUAAACACCAAGUCAUAUUCCUGGUGAUUUUCAAUCACUAUUCUUGUGAUGCUAAGUCACUUCACAUCCUUUUUUCUUUCUCUAUCCCUUUCAAACGACCAAUGGAAAAGACGAGGGCAGGGAAGACACAUUUGGAUUAUGAGCUACCCGUUACUGUUUUGCCUAUAUCCUUCUUUGUUCCUAAACCCACUUCUAUUGAGCUUUUAUUCAACUAAAAGCUCUGUUGCACUAAAUUUUUGUUUUUGGCUUGAUAUGUCACCCUUUUUUGCAAAUUUUACAGGUCAACCAUUACAUUGGGAGAGGCCAUCUUUUUAACCACAACAUUAUCU